CAAUUUUUAAUAAAAAUCUGUACAUACAUUAAACCUAAUCCCUGUGAAGCAUAUCCAUGAAAAUCCCUCUUUUUGGACCUCUGUUCACAGAAAUUAAAGAUUUUAUACUUAAGUGUAAUUUAAUUUAAUCCUAAAUUUGCUUAAGAAAAUCACUGAAUCCUACCUGAGUGGAAGAACACUUAGAAGUGAAGAUUGGGAAUUUUGCUUUGGAAUUAGAGGUUUCUUUUGCUUUAGAGGAGGGACUUGGGUAAAGCUACAGGAGAGAUGAUCCCAGUGCCUACUGCAGUUCUUCAGGGAAGAAUGUUUCUAACCACAAGUGGUCCCUGGAGAAAUUCCAGUAGCUGAUGAUAAUUAACAUCUUCCACUCCAGUGGCUUCACAUGCUUGCAGCUGUUGAGAAGGGGUGGCAGCGAGGCUGUUCGGGUGAGCUUCAAAGGGCUACCAGAAAAGCAGUUCUAAAAAUACAUUUGUAAAGCUAUUGUUGGUGGCUGAACUGGGGACUUUCAACGUUUCCACAGGAGUCUGUGUUACUUGCCUUAGCUUCGUAGAGAAUUACUGUUGAAGCAGUCUGUUUUGAAACGUAAAAACUAGGUUUUCACCUUCUGCUACUGAGGCAAAAUGCAUUAAAAGGAUAAAGGUCAAAAGGACACUGGCUCGAGUGCUGACUCCCCUCUGGGAUUAGUUCAACAUAAAAGGUGCACUUUCAGUACUGUGCAGGCAGCUUUAGUUGUGAAACUCCCCUGUACACUAAUAGAAGCCACGUGGCUGAAACACCAUAUAUCGAAAGUAAUGAUUUGUAAAAAUAGCUUUUCAUUACAGCUGAAAGUCGGAAAAUGAUGUGUUAAUAUAGUUCCAUUAGCUGAGUGUUACUGCCAAAAUGAGCAAGUGACAGCUCUUUGUUUCUCCUGCGCUUCUAUCUGGUAUUUUAAUAUCGUUAAAUGUUACUUCUCUGGGAUCCUCCUCUUCAUACUCCCCCCACACUAGGUUGGUUUUCAACAGCACAGAGCUUGAAAAGUAGAAUUCAGCAGAUCAUUCAGAAUAUUACUAUACUUUUUAUGUCACAAACCAAGAGGGCCAUCUGAGUCCUGUGACAAGCUGGUGCUGAUACAGGACAGAAGAGAGACUUGGGGUUCCAGGCUGGAGCAAGAUGAGCGGAGUCAACUACAUUUAAGCACAAAAAUAACAACCCCUGCAAAGGUGAUCUUCAUCAAGAGUUACUGCUGGCUCAAGGAACUCUCCUGUGAAACUUCCUCUCAAGGCUGCAUGACAGAUUCAGAUCCUUAGGCAGGGGAAAGGCCUAACCAUCCCGAGAGGAAUCUGGGUAUGGUAGGGUGAGAUGGCCCAUAGAAACCCAUAUGUGGUGACUGCAGCCAUC
Molecule: long non-coding RNA, 1374 nt
Organism: Neopsephotus bourkii (Bourke's parrot)
Lineage: Eukaryota; Metazoa; Chordata; Aves; Psittaciformes; Psittacidae
Exons: 4
Source: RefSeq, a predicted model, not a curated record